UACGUAGGGUGCAAGCGUUGUCCGGAAUUAUUGGGCGUAAAGAGCUCGUAGGCGGUCUGUCGCGUCUGCUGUGAAAAUCCAGGGCUCAACCCUGGACCUGCAGUGGGUACGGGCAGACUAGAGUGCGGUAGGGGAGAUCGGAAUUCCUGGUGUAGCGGUGAAAUGCGUAGAUAUCUGGAGGAAUACCGGUGGCGAAGGCGGCAUCCUGGACCAUUACUGACGCUGAGGCGCGAAAGCUAGGGGAGCAAACGGG
This 253-nucleotide ribosomal RNA is filed under the name uncultured bacterium. RNAcentral's name for it is "partial 16S ribosomal RNA". It matches the Rfam family "Bacterial small subunit ribosomal RNA", at positions 524 to 776 of the family's 1533-position model. The record is from RNAcentral.